UAUUUAGGAUAAAUAUGUUCCAUGUAACAUUUAGGACAUACUUAUACUAAAA
Non-coding RNA from Felis catus (domestic cat), 52 nucleotides. NCBI's taxonomy places the organism in Eukaryota, Metazoa, Chordata, Mammalia, Carnivora, Felidae. The record is from Rfam.